Molecule: ribosomal RNA, 405 nt
Filed under: uncultured bacterium
Lineage: Bacteria
Description: bacterial SSU rRNA
Rfam family: Bacterial small subunit ribosomal RNA
Source: RNAcentral
CAAGGAAUUUUCUGCAAUGGGCGCAAGCCUGACAGAGCAACGCCGCGUGGGGGAUGACGCGCUUCGGUGUGUAAACCCCUUUUCCCUGGGACGAAGGCGAUGACGGUACCAGGGGAAGAAGGACCGGCUAACUCCGUGCCAGCAGCCGCGGUAAUACGGAGGGUGCGAGCGUUGUUCGGAAUUACUGGGCGUAAAGCGCGUGCAGGCGGUCUCUUAAGUCUGGUGUGAAAGCCCGGGGCUCACCCCCGGAAGGGCACUGGAGACUGGGAGGCUAGAGUACCGGAGAGGAAGGUGGAAUUCCUGGUGUAGCGGUGAAAUGCGUAGAUAUCAGGAGGAACACCGGUGGCGAAGGCGGCCUUCUGGACGGCUACUGACGCUGAGACGCGAAAGCGUGGGGAGCAAACA